RNAcentral lists this long non-coding RNA (251 nucleotides) under Lathyrus oleraceus (garden pea). RNAcentral describes it as "Pisum sativum (pea) long non-coding RNA (PSAT_LNC005540)". Lineage: Eukaryota; Viridiplantae; Streptophyta; Magnoliopsida; Fabales; Fabaceae. The record is from RNAcentral.
UGUCAUGCAAGAGUUCGCCUUGGGGCAGAAAGUAAUUGCCGGAAAGGUGGGGAGGAUUGAAGACUAGCUGAAGAUGGGGAACAUGCAAGGAAACGCUUCGUCAUCUGGACCGAAGAAAUCUUUUGGUAAUGACCAGCACAAGGAUGAGGGUGAAUCGAGUGCUGUGUACGCCCAGAGAGGACACGGUAGGGGUCGUUACUACCAGCACACCGCUGCGGUAACUAUUCCUGCUGACAAUCAGCCUGCACAAC